RNAcentral lists this small nucleolar RNA (81 nucleotides) under Prolemur simus (greater bamboo lemur). RNAcentral's name for it is "Small nucleolar RNA SNORD24 (ENSPSMG00000011012.1)". It matches the Rfam family "Small nucleolar RNA SNORD24". From Rfam's summary of the family: U24 is a member of the C/D class of snoRNA which contain the C (UGAUGA) and D (CUGA) box motifs. C/D box snoRNAs have been shown to act as methylation guides for a number of RNA targets. The record is from Rfam by way of RNAcentral. Lineage: Eukaryota; Metazoa; Chordata; Mammalia; Primates; Lemuridae.
UGCCACAAUGAUGACAGUUUAUUUGCUACUCUUGACUGUGAGGAUGACGAGAAUCUUACCACCAUUAUCCUAACUGAGGCA